CGAAGGGUGCAAGCGUUAAUCGGAAUUACUGGGCGUAAAGCGUGCGCAGGCGGUUAUGUAAGACAGGUGUGAAAUCCCAGGGCUUAACCUUGGAACUGCAUUUGUGACUGCAUAGCUAGAGUACGGUAGAGGGGGAUGGAAUUCCGCGUGUAGCAGUGAAAUGCGUAGAUAUGCGGAGGAACACCGAUGGCGAAGGCAAUCCCCUGGACCUGUACUGACGCUCAUGCACGAAAGCGUGGGGAGCAAACAGGAUUAGAUACCCUGGUAGUCCACGCCCUAAACGAUGUCAACUGGUUGUUGGGUCUUCACUGACUCAGUAACGAAGCUAACGCGUGAAGUUGACCGCCUGGGGAGUACGGCCGCAAGGUUG
RNAcentral lists this ribosomal RNA (370 nucleotides) under uncultured organism. Its description in RNAcentral is "bacterial SSU rRNA". It matches the Rfam family "Bacterial small subunit ribosomal RNA", at positions 526 to 896 of the family's 1533-position model. The record is from RNAcentral.